GGGGAUAUAGCUGAGUUGGUAGAGUGCUUGCCUUGCAUGCACAAAGCCCUGGGUUCAGUUCCCAGCAUCACAA
This 73-nucleotide transfer RNA is filed under the name Ictidomys tridecemlineatus (thirteen-lined ground squirrel). Its description in RNAcentral is "Spermophilus tridecemlineatus (thirteen-lined ground squirrel) tRNA". It matches the Rfam family "tRNA". Rfam says of the family: Transfer RNA (tRNA) molecules are approximately 80 nucleotides in length. Their secondary structure includes four short double-helical elements and three loops (D, anti-codon, and T loops). Lineage: Eukaryota; Metazoa; Chordata; Mammalia; Rodentia; Sciuridae. The record is from Rfam by way of RNAcentral.